This 433-nucleotide ribosomal RNA is filed under the name uncultured bacterium. RNAcentral describes it as "partial 16S ribosomal RNA". It matches the Rfam family "Bacterial small subunit ribosomal RNA", at positions 29 to 507 of the family's 1533-position model. The record is from RNAcentral.
AACGAACGCUGGCGGCAUGCCUAACACAUGCAAGUCGAACGAGACCUUCGGGUCUAGUGGCGCCCGGGUGCGUAACGCGUGGGAACCUGCCCUUAGGUUCGGAAUAACUCCCCGAAAGGGGUGCUAAUAACGGAUAAUGUCUUCGGACCAAAGAUUUAUCGCCUUUGGAUGGGCCCGCGUUGGAUUAGCUAGUUGGUAGGGUAAAAGCCUACCAAGGCGACGAUCCAUAGCUGGUCGGUGAGGAUGAUCAGCCACACUGGGACUGAGACACGGCCCAGACUCCUACGGGAGGCAGCAGUGGGUAAUAUUGGACAGUGGGCGAAAGCCUGAUCCAGCAAGGCCGCGUGAGUGAUGAAGGCCUUAGGGUUGUAAAGCGCUUUUACCCGGGAUGAUAAUGACAGUACCGGGAGAAUAAGCUCCGGCUAACUCCGUG